RNAcentral lists this ribosomal RNA (492 nucleotides) under uncultured bacterium. RNAcentral's name for it is "partial 16S ribosomal RNA". It matches the Rfam family "Bacterial small subunit ribosomal RNA", at positions 29 to 507 of the family's 1533-position model. The record is from RNAcentral.
AGUGAACGCUGGCGGUAGGCCUAACACAUGCAAGUCGAACGGCAGCACAGUAAGAGCUUGCUCUUACGGGUGGCGAGUGGCGGACGGGUGAGGAAUACAUCGGAAUCUACUUUUUCGUGGGGGAUAACGUAGGGAAACUUACGCUAAUACCGCAUACGACCUACGGGUGAAGGCAGGGGAUCUUCGGACCUUGCGCGAUUGAAUGAGCCGAUGUCGGAUUAGCUAGUUGGCGGGGUAAAGGCCCACCAAGGCGAUGAUCCGUAGCUGGUCUGAGAGGAUGAUCAGCCACACUGGAACUGAGACACGGUCCAGACUCCUACGGGAGGCAGCAGUGGGGAAUAUUGGACAAUGGGCGCAAGCCUGAUCCAGCCAUACCGCGUGGGUGAAGAAGGCCUUCGGGUUGUAAAGCCCUUUUGUUGGGAAAGAAAAGCAGCAGGUUAAUACCCCGCUGUUCUGACGGUACCCAAAGAAUAAGCACCGGCUAACUUCGUG